CGGAUCGUAAAGCUCUGUUGUUAGGGAAGAACAAGUGCCGUUCAAAUAGGGCGGCACCUUGACGGUACCUAACCAGAAAGCCACGGCUAACUACGUGCCAGCAGCCGCGGUAAUACGUAGGUGGCAAGCGUUGUCCGGAAUUAUUGGGCGUAAAGGGCUCGCAGGCGGUUUCUUAAGUCUGAUGUGAAAGCCCCCGGCUCAACCGGGGAGGGUCAUUGGAAACUGGGGAACUUGAGUGCAGAAGAGGAGAGUGGAAUUCCACGUGUAGCGGUGAAAUGCGUAAAGAUGUGGAGGAACACCAGUGGCGAAGGCGACUCUCUGGUCUGUAACUGACGCUGAGGAGCGAAAGCGUGGGGAGCGAACAGGAUUAGAUACCCUGGUAGUCCACGCCGUAAACGAUGAGUGCUAAGUGUUAGGGGGUUUCCGCCCCUUAGUGCUGCAGCUAACGCAUUAAGCACUCCGCCUGGGGAG
RNAcentral lists this ribosomal RNA (471 nucleotides) under bacterium. RNAcentral's name for it is "bacterial SSU rRNA". It matches the Rfam family "Bacterial small subunit ribosomal RNA", at positions 419 to 880 of the family's 1533-position model. The record is from RNAcentral.